RNAcentral lists this ribosomal RNA (274 nucleotides) under uncultured bacterium. RNAcentral describes it as "partial 16S ribosomal RNA". It matches the Rfam family "Bacterial small subunit ribosomal RNA", at positions 523 to 796 of the family's 1533-position model. The record is from RNAcentral.
AUACGGAGGGUGCAAGCGUUAUCCGGAUUCAUUGGGUUUAAAGGGUACGUAGGCGGAUAGAUAAGUUAGUGGUGAAAUCCCGAAGCUCAACUUCGGAACUGCCAUUAAAACUGUCUAUCUUGAAUUUGGUUGAAGUGGGCGGAAUAUGACAUGUAGCGGUGAAAUGCAUAGAUAUGUCAUGGAACACCGAUAGUGAAGACAGCUCACUAAGCCAAUAUUGACGCUGAGGUACGAAAGCAUGGGUAGCGAACAGGAUUAGAAACCCUUGUAGUCC